This 323-nucleotide ribosomal RNA is filed under the name uncultured archaeon. Its description in RNAcentral is "bacterial SSU rRNA". It matches the Rfam family "Archaeal small subunit ribosomal RNA", at positions 531 to 854 of the family's 1478-position model. The record is from RNAcentral.
CCGUAGGUCCUCUGUUAAAUCCAACCGCUCAACGGUUGACCUGCAGAGGAUACCGCGGGACUAGGAGGCGGGAGAGGCGGACGGUACUCCGCGUGUAGGGGUAAAAUCCUUUGAUCCGCGGAAGACCACCAGUGGCGAAGGCGGUCCGCCAGAACGCGCUCGACGGUGAGGGAUGAAAGCUGGGGGAGCGAACCGGAUUAGAUACCCGGGUAGUCCCAGCCGUAAACGAUGCUAGCUAGAUGAUUCAUUCGCAAGUCUCGAAUGAAGUGUCGCAGGGAAGCCGUUAAGCUAUCCGCCUGGUGAGUACGGUCGCAAGACUGAAA